UACGUUCCCGGGCCUUGUACACACCGCCCGUCACACCACGAAAGUCGGUAACACCCGAAGCCGGUGGCCCAACCCGUCAGGGAGGGAGCCGUCGAAGGUGGGAUCGGUGAUUGGGGUG
RNAcentral lists this ribosomal RNA (118 nucleotides) under uncultured bacterium. Its description in RNAcentral is "partial 16S ribosomal RNA". It matches the Rfam family "Bacterial small subunit ribosomal RNA", at positions 1367 to 1482 of the family's 1533-position model. The record is from RNAcentral.